Molecule: long non-coding RNA, 321 nt
Filed under: Trifolium pratense (red clover)
Lineage: Eukaryota; Viridiplantae; Streptophyta; Magnoliopsida; Fabales; Fabaceae
Description: long non-coding RNA (TPRA_LNC004040)
Source: RNAcentral
UCUUCUUCUUCUUCUUCUUCUUCUUCUUCUUCUUCUUCUAUCAAAUAUGUUUUUUUGCAAAAAAAUAUUUUAACAAAUUCUACAUCUUUUUUACAAACUUUUGAUUCAAUACAACUUUUUAUGGCAAUUUUUUUCGUUACCUUCAUCUGCUUCUUUUCCCAUCAAUGGUGAUAAUGGUUUUUAUUUGUAAUUAGAAACAUAUACGUGAAAAAAAUGUAAGGCUUUUUUUUUUGUUUAAAAAUUUGGAUUCCCAAAAAAAUAUAAUUUCUUUUAUUAAAAUUUAUUGAUUCUUUUAAAAUUUGCCUAAUAUACAAAAGUUNN